Vicugna pacos (alpaca) is the source of this 193-nucleotide non-coding RNA. The record is from RefSeq and is a predicted model, not a curated record. NCBI's taxonomy places the organism in Eukaryota, Metazoa, Chordata, Mammalia, Artiodactyla, Camelidae.
AGAUUCCACAUAUAAGUGAUAUCAUGAGAUAUCUGUCUUUCUGUCUGACUUACUUCACUUAGUAUGAUAAUCUCUAGGUCCACCAAUGUUGCUGCAAAUGGCAUUAUUUCAUCCUUUUUCUUAAUGGCUGAGUGGUAUUACAUUGUGUAUUUAUACCACAUCUUCUUUAUACAGUCAUCUGUCGAUGAACAUU